This 486-nucleotide ribosomal RNA is filed under the name uncultured bacterium. Its description in RNAcentral is "partial 16S ribosomal RNA". It matches the Rfam family "Bacterial small subunit ribosomal RNA", at positions 30 to 507 of the family's 1533-position model. The record is from RNAcentral.
AUUGAACGCUGGCGGCAUGCCUUACACAUGCAAGUCGAACGGCAGCACGGGUGCUUGCACCUGGUGGCGAGUGGCGAACGGGUGAGUAAUACAUCGGAACAUGUCCAGUAGUGGGGGAUAGCCCGGCGAAAGCCGGAUUAAUACCGCAUACGAUCUACGGAUGAAAGCGGGGGACCUUCGGGCCUCGCGCUAUAGGGUUGGCCGAUGGCUGAUUAGCUAGUUGGUGGGGUAAAGGCCUACCAAGGCGACGAUCAGUAGCUGGUCUGAGAGGACGACCAGCCACACUGGGACUGAGACACGGCCCAGACUCCUACGGGAGGCAGCAGUGGGGAAUUUUGGACAAUGGGCGAAAGCCUGAUCCAGCAAUGCCGCGUGUGUGAAGAAGGCCUUCGGGUUGUAAAGCACUUUUGUCCGGAAAGAAAUCCUUGGCCCUAAUACGGUCGGGGGAUGACGGUACCGGAAGAAUAAGCACCGGCUAACUACGUG